This 411-nucleotide ribosomal RNA is filed under the name uncultured bacterium. RNAcentral's name for it is "bacterial SSU rRNA". It matches the Rfam family "Bacterial small subunit ribosomal RNA", at positions 355 to 766 of the family's 1533-position model. The record is from RNAcentral.
CGAGGAAUAUUGCACAAUGGGCGCAAGCCUGAUGCAGCGACGCCGCGUGUGGGAUGAAGGGGCUACGCCUCGUAAACCACUGUAGCCCGGGACGAAAAACGCCUUAGAGGCGUUAGACGGUACCGGGAAAGUAAGGGUCGGCUAACUACGUGCCAGCAGCCGCGGUAAUACGUAGGACCCAAGCGUUGUCCGGAUUUACUGGGUGUAAAGGGUGCGCAGGCGGAUGGGUAAGUCAGGGGUGAAAGUCUGCAGCUUAACUGUAGAAUUGCCUUUGAGACUGCUCAUCUUGAGUGUGGGAGAGGUUGAUAGAAUUCCAGGUGUAGCAGUGAAAUGCGUAGAUAUCUGGAAUAACACCAGUGGCGAAGGCGGUCAACUGGCCCAUAACUGACGCUCAUGCACGAAAGCGUGGGG